AGAGACAGCAGGAAUGAGCUCUCCGACGGAGGGCAUGAACAGCAAGUGCAAAGGCCCUGCGACUCGAAAGAGCAUGAAAGACUGAGGAAGCGGCCAGUGUGGCUCCAACACAGUGGAGGAGUGGGGGGAUCCUACUGAGAUAGAGGCCCUGGAGCUGGCUCCUCCACAGCUCUCAGGAAUGACAGUAAACACAGACGGCCCUGCAUGUAUUCCGGCUGUGGCAGCCUUCCUCCUGGGCUGCACAUCAGGCUAACAAGCCCAGCCCUCAGCUUCACAGGGAUUGGAGAGCUGGUGACCCUAGUCAAGGAAGCUGGUGACCCUGGAUCAGUUGCCUCCCCUCUCUGUGCCUAAAUCCCCCACCCCACUUCUGUCAAUUAGGAGGAUGAUGCCUUCUUCAAAGUGUUGUCAUAAAGAUUAAAUCCUUAUUAAAGUCUGUUUUUGUUUUUGUUUCUGUUU
RNAcentral lists this long non-coding RNA (456 nucleotides) under Homo sapiens (human). RNAcentral's name for it is "FAM83A antisense RNA 1". The record is from RNAcentral. Lineage: Eukaryota; Metazoa; Chordata; Mammalia; Primates; Hominidae.